Molecule: long non-coding RNA, 245 nt
Filed under: Manihot esculenta (cassava)
Lineage: Eukaryota; Viridiplantae; Streptophyta; Magnoliopsida; Malpighiales; Euphorbiaceae
Description: long non-coding RNA (MESC_LNC012329)
Source: RNAcentral
ACUCCUCAUCCGAUCCUAGUGGACAUGAUCUUGAUCUUUCUUAAUGUGCUUGCCCUCCUAUAACAUCUAGCACAACCUCCUUCCGAUGUGAGAUCCCUUGAUCCCUGCGCGUUCCGCUCAACACACCGUACUCUUGAGGCCCUAAGCUUUGAUACCAACUGUAACAGCCCGCAUCUCCGGACCGCCACCGGCGCUAGGAUCCAGAUCGGCUUAAGGCCGCCGGGACCCGUAGCAAGCCACUAGAC